Molecule: small RNA, 956 nt
Filed under: Histoplasma ohiense
Lineage: Eukaryota; Fungi; Ascomycota; Eurotiomycetes; Onygenales; Ajellomycetaceae
Description: hypothetical lncRNA
Source: RNAcentral
UGCACUAUUUGAGAGCCAUUGGGAUUUUAACCGUUCCACAGAUUUUGUUGGCUGUAGCAAUGGUACGUCCCCCCACCCCCCGAUUGGAGACACCGGCAGGUCUCAAUUAUUCGGGCGCCCUGCACUGUCUAUCAACUGAAACCAUGGGGGCAAAAUAUAAGAAUUCGCUGUAAGCCGAGAUAAAGAUUUGUGGACAAACCCCGCAUCGAUAAAUUCCAUCGCUGCGCGCCGAUCCAGUCGUAAUGCACGAGCUCUUGCUACCAUUAACAGAACAAAGAAAGGCACUCUGUUUCGAAAUACAAUUCAUUCUUCAAUAAGCGCGCGCUCCUAAAUUUGGAUUUGGUGUUGGUGCUUACAGAUUUAUUGUUUCAAUUUACAAGACCCGGGAACUUGGGGUUGCAAUAAAUAUUCCGAUUUUCCACUGCGAUAUACUCCCGCCACAAGUCUCCCAUUGAUCGCAUCAAUGAUUAUUUUCUAUACGGAAGAAACGGUAUUAUUAUUGGUUGCUAAGAGCAAGGAGCAUUUUUAUCGUCCCGCUAAAGGUCAAACAAAUGUGUACAACAGCGCUUUCAUACUCAUGGUGAACAUUGGGCUGUCCAUCCCCCACCCCUUCUCUCCUGUAAUGUCCAGGUUAGGUUAGGGUCGCCGAAACAGAAUUGCUUCCGAGAUCUGCGACCUCCCACAACACCGCCUUGACAUUCACGCAUUAGAAUCUCAGCGACGAUCCCGUAGCCAAUGGGGACAACUUGUGGCGGCCGAAUCCACAACGUGCCCUGCAUAUUCUCAAGGGUAUUAUUCUGCCAAUAAUGAGGAACAACUCCCCCAUAAAGUUUUCACGGUUAGUAAUUAUUCGACAUGAGAGCAAAAUCGGAGCAUCAGAUAGUUAUAUAGUUACUCAGCCAAAAUACAGUCAGUGGGAUUUAGAAUCUGGCCAUAGAAUCCCCCUCCAACAGCAA